Dermacentor albipictus is the source of this 512-nucleotide non-coding RNA. Lineage: Eukaryota; Metazoa; Arthropoda; Arachnida; Ixodida; Ixodidae. The record is from RefSeq and is a predicted model, not a curated record.
CAGUGAAAUGCGGCCGGCAACGCCGGGAUUUCAUACCGUGGCGUCGAGCUUCGCAGCGCAACACCAUAUCUACUAUAGACACCGCGGCGAGUGCGAACAGCUUGCUCAGCCAGCGUGACCCUUCUACCAAUACAUUUACGCCUCCACAUUUGGCAUCCGCUGGAAGUUUGUGUUGCUGUGGAGGUCAAAGCUGAUGACGUCAUCGAGGAACGCCGCCUGCAUAUAGGGGACCCAAGGCGGCCGUAUGAUUAGGGCAUCGCUGAGAAGUGCACGGCUUCCUUUGAUACGGAACAUUUAACGUCCUGAAAAUGCGCAACGGGCCAUGAGGGAAGCCGUAGUGGAGGACUACGGACACAUUUUGACCACUUGGUGUUCCUUAACGUGCACCAAAAGCUCGACACGUGACCGUUCUUGCGUUCCUACAUCGGAAUCUGCCAUUCUUCAUCGCGUACUGCACCUGCGACCCCGUGCUUAGCAGCGUAAAGUCGAAAUUCAACCACCGUGGCAGGUUU